Daphnia pulex (common water flea) is the source of this 482-nucleotide long non-coding RNA. RefSeq lists it as uncharacterized. The record is from RefSeq and is a predicted model, not a curated record. Lineage: Eukaryota; Metazoa; Arthropoda; Branchiopoda; Diplostraca; Daphniidae. The transcript is spliced from 2 exons.
GUGGAUCUUAAGCACACAACUGUGAAGCACACUACCCAAAAGCACUGUGCUUAAAGUCCAUGGUUUCUGCUGUUGGAAUAGUUUUGAAAAUUGCCACAAGAUGGAGUGACAUGUAAAAAUAAAAAAAAAAUACUCAUUUUCCGUGUGUUGCACCAAACAGAGUUGCAAAACCAAACCAUAGCUGCCGUUUCGCUAUACCUCAGAACUUAGGGAAUCUCUUUAAGUGUUGUGGACAAACUAUUUAAUUAAAUAGGUUUACUACUAAGUUAAGGAAUUGAAUACUUCUUUGUAUUGAUAUAAAUUUAAAAAAACGUUGAGAUAUGUCGCUGGGUACAGAUGAUGAUGCAUGACAGUUUCUACCUCUAGAAGAAAGCAGGGACAAUACCAUAGUAGAAUUUUAGCUAACCCACAAAUUGUAUAGUAACAUGUACACAAAGUGUUAUUUUCGUCAAUGUUAAAAUACACGAUGUUUCGGUAUCGCG